GGUUGCAAUAUGUUUGAACGGUCUCCGCGCUCGCUCGUCCAUUCGUGAACAAAGGAGGCCGUGAUUUUGCGUCGUAUGGGCGGCUGCAGUCUUGCGUCCCGUCAGGCCAUGAAAGAACGGAGGAGGAUAUGAAUUUGCGUCGUCAUGGCGGCUGGCCAUGAAAGAAACAAGGAUUUGUUUUGCGUCGUAAUGGGUUUUUGUUGUUUGUUCGAAGCAGCGGCUGCAGUAUUGCGUCCCGUCAGACCAUGAGAGAGCAAAUGAGGAUAUGAAUUUGCGUCGUAAUGGGUAAGCUGUGUGAUCGAAGUGUGUGAUUAAGCUUCACAUGUAUUCACACCAUGACUGUUGUGCGUUUUGUUGUUUGUUUCGAGCAGCGGCUGCAGUCUUGUGUCCCGUCAGGCAAGUGUACACUUCGUGGCUGGUGUUGAUUCUGCUAAUUUCAUUUUCCUUCAUGCAGGCUCUACUUUAUUGAACACUAAGCUGGGUGAACCAACUUUGUUGUUGAUAUGACCGUAUUGCUCCGUUUUACUCACUUGUGUUUGAACGUUACUAAUUUGCGAUUGCACGCCCUAUUUCAGACACAUAUCUCUCCAGCGCUUCAGAGACGUCACUGGCGCCGAAAUUCCAGCUGUUUCACCGUGGGUCGCCAGAAGAACAGCAGAUCAUUGACUGUCAAUUGUGCGUCGCGACACUGUGGCACGAAGGAUAAGUACGUGUGAAAUACGUAACUACUGUGUGCACGGGAUGUUUUGUAUGAUUGUGUCGACACUCGAUACCACUUUCAAGGUAUGCAUUUUCGGAAUAAAGUAGAUACAUGUUUAAUUUUGCA
Molecule: long non-coding RNA, 826 nt
Organism: Ornithodoros turicata
Lineage: Eukaryota; Metazoa; Arthropoda; Arachnida; Ixodida; Argasidae
Exons: 6
Source: RefSeq, a predicted model, not a curated record